RNAcentral lists this unclassified non-coding RNA (357 nucleotides) under uncultured Sordariomycetes. RNAcentral describes it as "sequence contains ITS1". The stretch from base 1 to 105 matches the Rfam family "5.8S ribosomal RNA", at positions 50 to 154 of the family's 154-position model. Lineage: Eukaryota; Fungi; Ascomycota; Sordariomycetes. The record is from RNAcentral.
GAAAUGCGAUAAGUAAUAUGAAUUGCAGAAUUCAGUGAAUCAUCGAGUCUUUGAACGCACAUUGCGCCCGCCAGUACUCUGGCGGGCAUGCCUGUCCGAGCGUCAUUUCAACCCUCGAGCCCAGCUCGGCGUUGGGGCACGCGGGUCGGGGCGCCCCCCUUCUGGGGGGGCGCCACCCCCCGCGGCCCUCAAAUACAGCGGCGGCCGCCUAAGGGAUACCCUCUGCGCAGUAAACUAACUCGCACCGGGAGCCCUACGGGAGGCCCGCCCCGAAAACCCCAACGCGCGCCCACCCCUCGGGGAGCCGCGUUCACAAAGGUUGACCUCGGAUCAGGUAGGAAUACCCGCUGAACUUAA